UACGUAGGUGGCAAGCGUUGUCCGGAAUUACUGGGUGUAAAGGGCGUGCAGCCGGGCCGACAAGUCAGAUGUGAAAUCCGCGGGCUUAACCCGCGAACUGCAUUUGAAACUAUUGGUCUUGAGUACCGGAGAGGUCAUCGGAAUUCCUUGUGUAGCGGUGAAAUGCGUAGAUAUAAGGAAGAACACCAGUGGCGAAGGCGGAUGACUGGACGGCAACUGACGGUGAGGCGCGAAAGCGUGGGGAGCAAACAGG
Molecule: ribosomal RNA, 253 nt
Filed under: uncultured bacterium
Lineage: Bacteria
Description: partial 16S ribosomal RNA
Rfam family: Bacterial small subunit ribosomal RNA
Source: RNAcentral